UUUUUUUUUUUUUUUUAAUUUUCCAUUAUGGGCAGCAAUUUCCCAGUUGCUUUUUCUGCGUCUUGCAGCAGAGAAGGAUGGGGGACUGCAGAACCAGCACUUAGGAUUUAUGCUGAAAUAUUUAUUAGCACAAGAAGCAAGGCACCACAAUGUUCUGGCUCUGUGUCACACUCGAUUCACCCAUGCAGGUACAACCUGUGGGCAGCUGUUACACCCAGGGAACAAAUCAGUCAAAGAAUUGAGGAGCACUAAUGCAAAGCAGCCCCUGCCAGUGGCGUGCACAGCUCCUAAAGAGGCUGACUGGCACAUUUUUUGCCUUGUUCUCUGCAUUUUUUUGCUCUGUUUCGUGGGCUGAGCAAUUUGCAGGGCAGGAAUUCGAUGUGGCUACAUGUCACUACAGGUUUUGGAGGUGCUCAUUUUAUUUAUGUGUAUUUUUGGGUAAUGCUGGUGUUUCCGAGGAGCUUUUUCAUUUCAUUUGUUCCCUUACAAAUUCAUAUGAAUUAAGCAAUUAUAUAAGUUACUAUUUUGACCAGAGGGAGAAAGGAACCUGGUAGGACAGAACAGUACAGAAAACCAGGGCUUAGAAGUGGCCUCAGGCAUAUAAAGGUCUUAACCCCUUUAAAUGGUCUCAUAACUCUUCCUGCAGUGACAGUGGCAUCCACAGUUGCAAUAUCAAAUACACUGGAAAAAGAAAUUCAAGUGCUUCAAAUCCUCCUUGCUCCCUCUUGUCAGUCAUGGCUCAUUUUCAGGAUUAUUGAGAGAAAAAAAUAAAUUAUUCUGUCCUGUGCUUUUUUUCCUCACAAAGCUGCUGCAUUGUGGGGCUUGUAGGAGAGCUCACUCGACAGCGCAGCAGGCAGAGGCAAAAUCUGACUUUAUUAAGAUGAAAUCAUUGUCUGUAGGCAAAGCAAAGCCAUGUGAUAUCUCCAUCAGCGAGGCUUUCAUAUGCAGCUACUCAAAACCCUGGAAUAAAUGGAGCUGAUUGAGGUGAGCCAGAGGCAAUUCAGCCACCAGAGCCAAGCAAGGGGAGGAUCAGAGAAUGGAGCUCCCUCGUUAGCAGGGAGCUUCUCCAGCUGCCAGGGGGAAAUGAGGAGAUCCAGAACUGGAAAGUGCUUUCUGGUGUCCACAGGUCCAGCUCCCAGCUGGAAUGUCCCAGCCUCGGGAGCUGAAAGCAGCUGAGGGGUAGUCAGAGAGCCCCAGGAGCUCUCAGUGAGGGACAGUGUCCCCAGGAGGUGACUGGCAGCUCAGCAGAGCAGAUGAGACACUACAAAAAUAAAAAUGGAGACAAAGAGGGAUGCAGGGACAGCAGCUCAUCAUUAUUCUCCUGUGAAAUGUCUCUGCUCCAGCUCCAAUUAGCCAGGAGAGGAGCAGAUUGCCAUUUCAUUUCAGACCUCCAGCCUGGGGGACAGAGCUGGGCCAAUGUUUAAGCAAGGCAAAGAAUAUGAGAAAGGGAAAGAGCAUCUCUGUGGCACACCUGCAGGUCGUGCAGAUUAAUCUCUCUGUGCCUCCCAGCUCUUCCAUUCAAAUAUCAUGGAAUUAAUGAAUAUCCUGAGUUGGAAAGGCUCCACAAGGAUCAUCCAGUGCAGCUCCUGGCCCUGCACAGACACCCCAGCAAUCCCACCCUGGGAAUGUUCUCCAAACCCUCCUGGAGCUCUGGCAGCCUCGGGGUUGUGCCCAUUCCCUGGGGAGCCUUGGCAAUGCCAGCACCCUCUGGGGAAGAACCUUUUCCUGGAGAAAGAAGAAAGUCCCUCCCUGUGGGAAUGUUGGUGGAUGGAAAUGCUUUGGCAGUGAAAUAACUUUUAGAGGCUCCAGCUCUGAGAGAGGUAAAGCCACUGGUGACCCUCACACAGCAUGUGCUGAACUCGUUAUAAGCUGUCCGUGGGCUUCAGAACUCCAGCUUUGGGCCCCCAAAAAUCUCCAAAACCGAUCCUGAAAACUGAGCUCCAAAUUACCCCUAAUACACAGUUCUUGGGGAAGAUCUUUGGACGAAUGCAACCAGCAAAGCAGCAUUUUGUAAUAUCUGCUGCAGAUCAUAAUGAAUUCACUGUCAGGCCUCCUCUCCACUAAUCCUUCCUGUCCCAGACCAGCAUAAUCCAGUCUAACAGCUCUUUUUCUGGACACAUGAAGCCCUUUUUAGCUGUGGUUAUCUUCACAUUACCAGAUAAUAUUGGCUGAGCCCCUCUUUUCUUCCCAUAUCCAAGAUUUUGUCACUCAAUGUAGAGAGCUGGAGUCCAAUGUGUAAUUCCCAGUGUCCCUUGUGUGCCCUUUCUGGGACAGUUUCCAAGCUGCAGCAAUUCCAGGAUUUACCAUGUCCAGUGAGAAAAGGAAUCCAGGCUCAGAAAUGGGGCAUUUCCAGGAUCUCUCUGCUGAGGUGGUGACUGUGUGUGCCAAAGAGCCACAUCCCCCAUCAUGGCAAAAAUAAUUGCAACAAUGAGUGGAAUAAAUCAAGUAUUUAAUUAUUUCUUUGAUGGAAAAGGUCUUUAGAAGCUGGUGGUGACAAUCCAUUCCAAUCCAGGGAUGGGCAUUUGUGGAAAGCACCAGGAAAACCAGCAAAACCACGGUUAAAGAAAUGCCAUUUUUAAUUGCUAUGGAAGAUGGAGGCCAAAUGAUAUAAAUAUAAGAUGACAGGACAAUAAACAACAGAAUGAGAACCAUGAAGUCAUGAGGCAAAAUAUCCUGGCCAACAUCACUGCAAAACCAGUUUUAGAUUGAUAACCAGGAUAUUUUUAUAUUACAGCUAUGGGCUGUCAUUUGCAGCUCAUGAUUUUUUUGAUUGGAUUGAUGGGGACACGCUAAAAGAAUUGUUGGUAUUUUAUGUUCUUUUAGAGAAUUGAAAAGGCAGUUUAUGGAUUAGUUUGAAAUAAAAAACUUAUGGCAGAUGAGUUCAGCUACUCAUCAGCUCCAUACACUCAAUUAUAAUGCCCACAGUGAGUUGUGUUUUAUAAUUUCCCCAAUACAUCAGAAUUGGUUGAUUUCCCUUCGUUUUCAGUGCUAAUUUUGAGCCUUUAUUGGAUUAUUGCACAAAUCAAAGCACACAAACCCCACUUUGUGUAUGAUUUUAUCCUCGCUGAAGAUUUUAACAUUGAUUGGAAAAACUACAUUUUUUCUUCAGCAUUAAAUGCUUUUAAAAAUUUGAUAAAAAAAUCUGUCAACUGUCAACUGCAUUAUCUAAUCCAUAUAUUGGGUAAAGAACAUCUGUGCAUGUUUUCAACCAGAAAAAAAAAAAGUUCAUUUUCCCCUUAUUUUCUAAUAUUUCCAUUAAAACUGUGCAGGGGAUUGAGAGGCUCCUCUGGGAUUUAGGUGUUUUAAUUUGGAAAUGAGCUUUCUUUAUGAUGAGGGAUAAGAAUAAAAAGCAGGUUUGUGGGGUGGGGAAGGAGAAGUCUCUGCAAAUUGUUGUGUCAGCUGGGUAGAAAUCUUGCAAGGAGCUUUGCCGUGCUGCUAAUGAUCUUUUUGGGGAGCUGCAACAGAAAGGAACAGGAAGUUAUUUGAUCCAACUGAGAGUAUUUUAGAAUAGGUGCUGGUAUAACAAUGGGCAGGAAAAUAGAUUGAUCAGGGAACAAGAGGAUAAUUGGCAAAAAUCACUCAGGCAACUGAUCCCUUCAGGGAGAUGGAAUUCAAGACUUCUGGAGUUGUGCAGCUAUUUCUAUGUCAAAAGCUGUAAUUUCCCUUGAAAAGGAGUGACAGCUUCUCUGACUAAGCCCACUUGAUUUUGAUUUCCUCCACUGACACUCCUCAUCCAUUGGCCUUUUGUAUUCAUUUUUCAUCAGUGAGGGCUUCUUCCUUAAUUAGACCCAAUAUUUCGGAAAAAAGCAAACCUGUUUCUCCAUUUCUCCAUGUUAGGAUUAGAGUUUUAGCUUUAAAAAUUAAGUUUUUCUGCAAGAUGGCAUUUCAGCAAAUAUUUCUGAGAAGGUGAAGCUGUUAAAUAACUCUUCCACUCAUUCUGGAGUAAGAUCUCCAGUAGCAAAGAUGUUGCAAAGAAGAUGCUUGGAUAAACUUGUCUUUUUAGCUGGGUUUCUGUUGAACAGCCCUAAAUCUUCUUUUUCCAGCCCUUUUUAGAACACAGGAAUCACAGGGCUGUCAGGGAGACUUUAAGUUCAAACACAAUGUGAAUCUUUGUGGAUGCAGCAGAACCUAAGGAAAGGGGACGUGUCCAACUAAGAAUUUCUUCAGAGGGAGCAAAGGGUGAGGAAAGAUCUCAGUGAUAAACAGGCAGAUGUGGUGGAACAAUGCCAGACAGGAAUUCCAUCAAUAUUAGAAAGGUGGUGCCUGUAGGACACACGAAGUACGAGCAGAUGGAGGAUGCCUCAGAUCAUGGCAGCCCUUGAAAUCAAAUCACAGAAUCAUGGGAUGGCUUGGUGUGGGAAUCCAGAGCUUCCCCCUGGCUGCCCUGGCAGGUCUGGGACCCUGGCAGGGCUCAGGAACCCCCCUGGACAGAGCCCCCAGAGACACUGGCUGUCAUCUCUGUCCAUGGAGAGGAGUUUUCAAUCUUACAGGAUUAAUUACAAUCUCUGAGUGUUUGAUAUAAGUAAUAAUUAAGUGUGGCACAGGUACAAAAGUAAAAUUUUAGGAUUCUAGAUUAGGGGUCCAAAGGGGACAAGAUGGAGGAAAUUGGGUGUGUCUUGUCCUUUUUCUCCUUCUUCAUGCCCUCCAUGUUUCACUGCGGUGUUGGCAUUUUUCUGUUGGUUCAGGCUGGGGACACACUGUCCAACGUAGGUGACAGAUAUUGGCACGUUAUUGUAAAUCCAGCACAGGUAGUUUGUGGUAUUUAAUGUUUGUACCAUCCCACUGAGGGCAGAGCCCCACACGCUGCCCUGCAGGACAGAGCUGCGGCAGGGCAGCAGAACAUGUUAGAGAUAAACAGAAUAAACAACCUUGAAACCAGCACAGACCAAUUAUGGCUUCUGCUUUGGCAGGGGACUGACAGACAGAGACUUUCUACAAUCUCCGAAUCAUCAAUACCUCAGAUUCCAACAGUUUGGGUUGGAAGGGACCUUCCAAGGUCAUCCAGUGCCGUGGGACAUCUUCAACUAGACCAGGCUGUUCCAAUUCCCACCCAGCCUGACCUUGAAUAUUUCCAGGGAUGAAGUAUCUACCACCUCUUUGGGCAGCUUGUGCCUGAGUUUUACCACCCUCAUCUGUCUUAAAUCCAGACUGGCUCUACCCUCUCCUAGUUUAAAACCAUCACCUCUUGUCUAUCACAACAGGCCCUACAAGCUUCUUGGGUAGAAGAUUAAAGAAUAGUUCACUGUUUAAAAAAAAAUAUUGAAGUCUAAAUUCUAUUUGUCUAAACUAUGAGCUUGCUAUUUUUUGGCUAAUUUUGCUUUAUACCUCUGCAAGAUUAAUUUGUCCACAAAGUGGAGAGAGAAGCCAUGUGGCUUUUCAGAUGCUGAUAAUCUAUUUAUUUGUCAC
Taeniopygia guttata (zebra finch) is the source of this 5406-nucleotide long non-coding RNA. Lineage: Eukaryota; Metazoa; Chordata; Aves; Passeriformes; Estrildidae. The record is from Ensembl.